RNAcentral lists this ribosomal RNA (495 nucleotides) under uncultured bacterium. Its description in RNAcentral is "partial 16S ribosomal RNA". It matches the Rfam family "Bacterial small subunit ribosomal RNA", at positions 28 to 507 of the family's 1533-position model. The record is from RNAcentral.
GACGAACGCUGGCGGCGUGCCUAAUACAUGCAAGUAGAACGCUGAAGGAGGAGCUUGCUUCUCUGGAUGAGUUGCGAACGGGUGAGUAACGCGUAGGUAACCUGCCUGGUAGCGGGGGAUAACUAUUGGAAACGAUAGCUAAUACCGCAUAAGAGUAGAUGUUGCAUGACAUUUGCUUAAAAGGUGCAAUUGCAUCACUACCAGAUGGACCUGCGUUGUAUUAGCUAGUUGGUGGGGUAACGGCUCACCAAGGCGACGAUACAUAGCCGACCUGAGAGGGUGAGCGGCCACACUGGGACUGAGACACGGCCCAGACUCCUACGGGAGGCAGCAGUAGGGAAUCUUCGGCAAUAGACGGAAGUCUGACCGAGCAACGCCGCGUGAGUGAAGAAGGGUGUCGGAUCGUAAAGCUCUGUUGUAAGAGAAGAACGAGUGUGAGAGUGGAAAGUUCACACUGUGACGGUAUCUUACCAGAAAGGGACGGCUAACUACGUG